UNUGACUUGAGUGCAGAAGGGGAGAGUGGAAUNCCAUGUGUAGCGGUGAAAUGCGUAGAUAUAUGGAGGAACACCAGUGGCGAAAGCGGCUCUNUGGUCUGUCACUGACGCUGAGGCUCGAAAGCGUGGGUAGCGAACAGGAUUAGAUACCCUGGUAGUNCACGCCGUAAACGAUGAGUGCUAGGUGUUAGGCCCUUUCCGGGGCUUAGUGCCGGAGCUAACGCAAUAAGCACUCCGCCUGGGGAGUACGACCGCAAGGUUGAAACUCAAAGGAAUUGACGGGGGCCCGCACAAGCGGUGGAGCAUGUGGUUUAAUUCGAAGCAACGCGAAGAACCUUACCAGGUCUUGACAUCCCGAUGCUAUUCUUAGAGAUAGGAAGUUACUUCGGUACAUCGGAGACAGGUGGUGCAUGGUUGUCGUCAGCUCGUGUCGUGAGAUGUUGGGUUAAGUCCCGCAACGAGCGCAACCCUUAUUGUUAGUUGCAUCAUUAAGUUGGGCACUCUAGCGAGACUGCCGGUAAUAAACCGGAGGAAGGUGGGGAUGACGUCAAAUCAUCAUGCCCCUUAUGACCUGGGCUACACACGUGCUACAAUGGUCGGUACAACGAGUUGCGAGCCGGUGACGGCAAGCUAAUCUCUGAAAGCCGAUCUCAGUUCGGAUUGGAGGCUGCAACUCGCCUCCAUGAAGUCGGAAUCGCUAGUAAUCGCGGAUCAGCACGCCGCGGUGAAUACGUUCCCGGGCCUUGUACACACCGCCCGUCACACCACGAGAGUUUGUAACACC
This 784-nucleotide ribosomal RNA is filed under the name uncultured bacterium. RNAcentral describes it as "bacterial SSU rRNA". It matches the Rfam family "Bacterial small subunit ribosomal RNA", at positions 636 to 1421 of the family's 1533-position model. The record is from RNAcentral.